Molecule: non-coding RNA, 1313 nt
Organism: Equus caballus (horse)
Lineage: Eukaryota; Metazoa; Chordata; Mammalia; Perissodactyla; Equidae
Source: RefSeq, a predicted model, not a curated record
AAGGCUUCCUGAGUCGCCCAGGAUUGGGCCUGGCCCUGCCUGCUUAGAUGUCAUUUAUUUGCCUAGAUAUUACAACGUUUUGUUUUAAAUAUAAUUGGAUUUUUUUCUGCCUUUUUUAAAAGAAAGGUCAACCUUUCCAGCAGUAUGUACUAGAGAAAAAGUAAAUGGGAAAGCAGAUGAGAGCCCUGAGAGAGCCAUGCAGAGUGGAGCUGGAUGGACGUGGGCGGCAUAUCCAGAAACCGACGCCAGAACCACACUGUCUGGCUUUGAAUCCCAGCUCUACCACUUACUGAUCGGCUAACUUCUGUUUCAUCCGGAAGGGAUUCCACCUGCAAGAGCCUUAUAAGCAAAGCUUUUUUCACAGGAAAAAUAUUGCACAAAGAAAAAGUUUCCACGCUGUGAUUGCUUGCAUUCUGGCUAUGCCAUAAAAAGGUGUCAGAGACGACUUCCUUCACCAGGGAAACAUCUUCUGUCCCCUGUCUCUCAGCUGAGGAGCCCAACACUCCUCUCUCGCUUGUCAACUUCUUACCAGAGAAGAGAGUUCCCAGCCAAGGAUCCCCAUGAGUCUCUUGGAUUAUGUCAUCCAGAGAGUUCCAGGAAGCAGUGGGGGGUGAAGGAACCAGAUGAGGCUGCCAACCCAGCAACACUUGCUCUAACCUCGGAAUUGCUUGCUUAGGAUGAAAGGCCAACCCUCCAGUCACUGAGGUUGACAAUGGAUCAUAGGAAGCAAGUGUGGAAGCAGGGCGACCAGUGAGGAGACGGCUGCAGAGACCCAGGUGGGAGCUGAUGCUGGCCUGGCCUGGAGUGGGGGGAAAUAGAGAAUUUACAGGAAUACAUUCAUAUAUUUCCCGUGUAAUUUAAAACGAUUAAAAAGGUCCCUCAAUGAUGUGCAGAGGAAGGCUGGUGCCGACUGUCUGACUCCAGGUCAGCCCGCACUGCCCUGUGGCCCCGGAGCUGCCCUUCUCCAGAUGAUGAGCUCCAGGGUCAUUCUGAGUAAGUAUGGGCCAAACUCCCCAGCCCUGAGUUGGACAGUUUCAGUUUCACUGGAACCAAAUCCCUCAUGCCCAUGAAGAAUCCCAAACACACAGGUCUAUCACAGUUUAUAACAGUCCCAUGUACUGAAGGCUGGGCCUCAAGAUGAAUUGUUGAGUGAGAAGCCAAGGUGGGGAAAAAAACCAGGCAUGGGACAUUUAAGUAGAAUCCUGCUCUUGGAAUGAAAAUAAGAGCUGCCGGGGCUGGCCCCAUGGCCGAGUGGUUAAGUUUGUGCACUCUGAGUCAGUGGCCCAGGGUUUCACCGGUUUGGAUCCUGGGCG